AAGCGAUCUGUCACUGUAGAAGACACAACAUCUCCCUCUGUCUGUCUCUAUCUCUGCCUGGUCCGGGUUCAGCCCCGGAGACAUGUCUGUGUGACUGACAGCUAAACCAGCCACAGAGAAUAUCCCUCCCUCUGAGAGCGUUGACCGAAGACGGGUCCCACCAACAGGAGCACGUGGCAGAGGAGGAGUCAUCAUAGCUGGCUUGCCACCACCUACCCUCCAUGGCACCCCUGUGACAGCCAUACAGGUUUGUUUCAUCUACAUGAACCUCCUUACCCCGACCUUUCUUCCUCACCAUCCACUAAACACCUGGUUGAUGAAUGGCGUCUCACAACAGGCCACACCUGACACGGUUCCUCAGUCACAAGACUACAGAGUUUCCCAACCUCUGCCCUUGUUCCUGUUACAUUGCACUGUUUUUGUU
Long non-coding RNA from Esox lucius (northern pike), 424 nucleotides. Lineage: Eukaryota; Metazoa; Chordata; Actinopteri; Esociformes; Esocidae. The record is from Ensembl.